GAUUGUUUCUUGUUGUGUGGAUAUGCUCUUGUUGGCCUUCCAGCUGGAAGUACAGGAUCAUUGUAUCUUUUCAGCAGGUUUUCUGGCUACUCCUGAGGGAAGGACCCUGGCGUAGUUUCUGCUUCCUUUCAUAUCAGAAGAUAAGACACCUUUCUCAUUGCUUGUUGAACAUCCCACCUUUGAUGUACCACUGUCACCAAGUAUACGGACACAAAUAGGAGUUCCAGCAGUGAUUCCUGUUAAGAAAAGAGAGAUGGGAAUAGGGUAAG
This is a long non-coding RNA of Tupaia belangeri chinensis (Chinese tree shrew), 269 nucleotides long. RefSeq lists it as uncharacterized. NCBI's taxonomy places the organism in Eukaryota, Metazoa, Chordata, Mammalia, Scandentia, Tupaiidae. The record is from RefSeq and is a predicted model, not a curated record. The transcript is spliced from 4 exons.